This 178-nucleotide ribosomal RNA is filed under the name Escherichia coli. RNAcentral describes it as "partial 16S ribosomal RNA". It matches the Rfam family "Bacterial small subunit ribosomal RNA", at positions 1 to 172 of the family's 1533-position model. Lineage: Bacteria; Pseudomonadati; Pseudomonadota; Gammaproteobacteria; Enterobacterales; Enterobacteriaceae. The record is from RNAcentral.
AAAUUGAAGAGUUUGAUCAUGGCUCAGAUUGAACGCUGGCGGCAGGCCUAACACAUGCAAGUCGAACGGUAACAGGAAUCAGCUUGCUGAUUCGCUGACGAGUGGCGGACGGGUGAGUAAUGUCUGGGAAACUGCCUGAUGGAGGGGGAUAACUACUGGAAACGGUAGCUAAUACCGC